This 1523-nucleotide long non-coding RNA is filed under the name Lonchura striata (white-rumped munia). RNAcentral describes it as "domestica (Bengalese finch) lncRNA (ENSLSDG00000008626.1)". Lineage: Eukaryota; Metazoa; Chordata; Aves; Passeriformes; Estrildidae. The record is from RNAcentral.
CGUCCGCCCGGCGCCCCCGGGGCUGCGCGGAGCGGGGCCGGCCCCGCCGCCCGUGCCUGGCUGGAAGUGAAACGCGCCCCGGCUGCUCCUUUUUCUUUCUUCUUCUUUUUUUUUUUUUUUUUUUUUUUUUUUUCCUUUUUGAGCCUCCAAAAGGCUCACUCGCCCCUUUCAUCUGCCGCCGCGGCCCAAUGGGAAGGCGGAGGCUGCCUGCAAGUGGUCUAAUCUCAAUGAGGUGUCAAUCAUGUUCCCCGCAGGGAGAAGCGGAGCACAUGGAUUUCUAAACACGCUGGGAUUUUAUACAUCUACAAAAAAUAACAACAAGCGAACCUGACCCUACUGAAAACAGUCAAAUGAAUCGUAAUUGCAGAUCAAUGCAGAGAGAUGGGGAAACUUCAUUCGAAACAUGCUGCCGUUUGUAAACCCAGAGAAAGUCCAGAAGGUAGGGAUGGCUCCUCACUGUUAGUAACUUUGAACGCCUUCCUCGGUCCGGCUGGCUGCCCCUGGCCCCCUGCCCUCUCCCCUCAACUUUCCGCCGCGCUUUGCUCUCUGCGCGGCCGCCCCGCUCCCAGCUCGGUGCCAGUCCGGGCUCCAGCCCCAGCCCCGGUGCUGGUCCCGGUCCCGGCUCCAGCCCCAGCCCCGGUGCCGGUCCCGGCUCCAGCCCCAGCCCCGGUGCUGGUCCCAACCACGCUCCCGGCUCCAGCCCCGGUGCCGGUCCCGGCUCCAGCCCCGGUGCCGGUCCCGGUCCCGGCUCCAGCCCCGGUGCCGGUCCCGGUCCCGGCUCCAGCCCCGGUGCCAGUCCGGGCUCCAGCCCCAGCCCCGGUGCCGGUCCCGGCUCCAGCCCCGGUGCCGGUCCCGGCUCCAGCCCCAGCCCCGGCCGGCGCGGGGAUGGCCGCGGGGGUCGGGCAGGCUCUGCGGGCGGCUCAGCGGAGGCAUUGUCUCCUCUUUUCUAGGUGAUAGUUUCGCGGUGAACGCCUCUCUGGCUCGCAGAGGGCUGGAGGACUGGAUGGUGAAGCAGAAAUACUCCGGGGGCAGCAGCAGCGGCGGCAGCAGCUCGGGACUCCAGCACGGCUGCCAGCACCGCGCCGUGUGCAGGCUCUCCAGCGCCAGGGUAUGUCAGCUUCCUCGCUGCCCCCCCGCCCCUUCCCUUUGAAAUAGUGAAAAGCAAAAGCUCUUUCUACAUCCCUCUUUCCCUCCCAAGGGGCGGUUGUGCAAAGGAAGGUUUUCUUUGCCCUAAUGCUGCUCCGAGGCGCUGCCCCGUGGGUGGUUUCCUUCAGUCCUUUGAUGAAGUUAGAAGCUGCAGAGCAAACUUGGUGAGGGUACAAAAGCCAAAGGAGUAAGGGAACCUGCCUGCUGGUGUCUGGGCAGUACGAUUAGAACAAAACCUUUCACAAACAGGAACAAACGAUCUCUGGGGAAAGCCCAGCACCCAGCUAGUGCGCGAUAGAUUGUGAGCCCUGAUUAGUGCACAAGUUUGCCUGUGACAUUUUGGCAGUCAAGAAGUCCCCGAAGAGUUAUUGUUAUUU